Molecule: ribosomal RNA, 465 nt
Filed under: uncultured bacterium
Lineage: Bacteria
Description: partial 16S ribosomal RNA
Rfam family: Bacterial small subunit ribosomal RNA
Source: RNAcentral
CCUACGGGUGGCAGCAGUGGGGAAUAUUGCGCAAUGGGCGAAAGCCUGACGCAGCGACGCCGCGUGAGGGAUGAAGGUCUUCGGAUCGUAAACCUCUGUCAGCAGGGAAGAACGGUCACUGUGCUAAUCAGCAGUGAAUUGACGGUACCUGCAAAGGAAGCACCGGCUAACUCCGUGCCAGCAGCCGCGGUAAUACGGAGGGUGCGAGCGUUAAUCGGAAUUACUGGGCGUAAAGCGCUCGUAGGCGGUAUGUCAAGUCUAGGGUGAAAUCCCCGGGCUCAACGUGGGAACGUCCUUUGAAACUGGCAGACUGGAGUGUGUGAGAGGAUAGUGGAAUUCCAGGUGUAGGAGUGAAAUCCGUAGAUAUCUGGAGGAACAUCAGUGGCGAAGGCGACUAUCUGGCACAUAACUGACGCUGAGGAGCGAAAGCGUGGGUAGCAAACAGGAUUAGAUACCCUUGUAGUC